CUGGACUGUAACUGUUAGGUUGAAUGCCCUCCACCAAUACCCUGGACUGUAACUGUUAGGUUGAAUGCCCUCCACCAAUACCCUGGACUGUAACUGUUAGGUUGAAUGCCCUCCACCAAUCCCCUGGACUGUAACUGUUAGGUUGAAUGCCCUCCUCCAAUCCCCUGGACUGUUACUGUUAGGUUGAAUGCCCUCCACCAAUACCCUGGACUGUAACUGUUAGGUUGAAUGCCCUCCUCCAAUCCCCUGGACUGUAACUGUUAGGUUGAAUGCCCUCCACCAAUACCCUGGACUGUAACUGUUAGGUUGAAUGCCCUCCUCCAAUCCCCUGGACUGUUACUGUUAGGUUGAAUGCCCUCCUCCAAUCCCCUGGACUGUUACUGUUAGGUUGAAUGACUAACGAUGAAGCCUACCGAAGCCUACAGUGAUUUGCUCUGACAGCAUUUUCUAUGUUAAUUUGACUAAUGAGUAACAUUUAAAGUAUUU
This 486-nucleotide long non-coding RNA is filed under the name Salmo salar (Atlantic salmon). RNAcentral describes it as "lncRNA (ENSSSAG00000089344.1)". The record is from RNAcentral. Lineage: Eukaryota; Metazoa; Chordata; Actinopteri; Salmoniformes; Salmonidae.